RNAcentral lists this ribosomal RNA (660 nucleotides) under uncultured bacterium. RNAcentral describes it as "bacterial SSU rRNA". It matches the Rfam family "Bacterial small subunit ribosomal RNA", at positions 8 to 694 of the family's 1533-position model. The record is from RNAcentral.
AGAGUUUGAUCCUGGCUCAGGACGAACGCUGGCGGUGUGCUUCACACAUGCAAGUCGAACGGAGUAGCAAUACUCAGUGGCGGACGGGUGAGUAACACGUGGGAAUCUACCAUUAGGUGGGGAAUAACAGGCCGAAAGGACUGCUAAUGCCGCAUAUGUAGGCAUCUCGACAGAGAUGUUUAUGAAAGGAGUAAUCCGCCUUUUGAUGAGCCCGCGUCCGAUUAGCUAGUUGGUAGGGUAAAAGCCUACCAAGGCGACGAUCGGUAGGUGGUCUGAGAGGAUGAUCACCCACAAUGGGACUGAGACACGGCCCAUACUCCUACGGGAGGCAGCAGUGGGGAAUUUUACGCAAUGGGGGAAACCCUGACGUAGCGACACCGCGUGAGCGAAGAAGCCCUUUGGGGUGUAAAGCUCUGUCAACAGGAACGAAACAAAUGACGGUACCUGUGGAGGAAGCAUCGGCUAACUACGUGCCAGCAGCCGCGGUAAGACGUAGGAUGCAAGCGUUGUCCGGAUUUAUUGGGCGUAAAGAGUUCGUAGGCGGUUUGUUAAGUCUGAUGUUAAAGACCGGGGCUCAACCUCGGAAAUGCAUCCAAAACUGGCGAGCUAGAGUACGGUAGAGGGUGGUGGAAUUUCCUGUGUAGCGGUGAAAUGCGUAGA